GGUUACAUACAAGGGGAAGUCAGGUUACAAUGGUUACAUGCAUGGGAAAUCAGGUUACAAUGGUUACAUGCAUUGGAAAUCAGGUUACAAUGGUUACAUGCAUGGGAAAUCAGGUUACAAUGGUGACAUGCAUGGGGAAGUCAGGUUACAAUGGUUACAUGCAUGGGAAAUCAGGUUAUUGGUUACAUGCAUGGGAAAUCAGGUUACAAUGGUUACAUGCAUGGGGAAGUCGGGUUACAAUGGUCACAUGCAUGGGGAAUCGGGUUACAAUGGUUACAUACAAGGGGAAGUCAGGUUACAAUGGUUACAUACAUGGAGAAUGAGGGUUACAAUGGUUACAUACAUGGGGAUUGCUGGUUACAAUGGUUACAUGCAUGGGAAAUCAGGUUACAAUGGUUACAUGCAUGGGAAAUCAGGUUACAAUGGUUACAUGCAUGGGAAAUCAGGUUACAAUGGUUACAUGUAUGGGGAAGUCAGGUUACAAUGGUUACAUACAUGGAGAAUGAGGGUUACAAUGGUUACAUACAUGGGGAUUGCUGGUUACAAUGGUUACAUGCAUGGGAAAUCAGGUUACAAUGGUUACAUACAUAGAGAAUGAGGGUUACAAUGGUUACAUACAUGGGGAUUGCUGGUUACAAUGGUUACAUGAAUGGGAAAUCAGGUUACAAUGGUUACAUACAUGGCAAUGGUUACAUGCAUUGGAAAGGAGGGUUACAAUGGUUACAUGCAUGGGGAUUGAGGGUUAUAUUAUGGUUACAUACAUGGAGAAUGAGGGUUACAAUGGUUACAUACAUUGG
Mytilus californianus (California mussel) is the source of this 797-nucleotide long non-coding RNA. RefSeq lists it as uncharacterized. Lineage: Eukaryota; Metazoa; Mollusca; Bivalvia; Mytilida; Mytilidae. The record is from RefSeq and is a predicted model, not a curated record. The transcript is spliced from 3 exons.